This 29-nucleotide non-coding RNA is filed under the name Homo sapiens (human). Lineage: Eukaryota; Metazoa; Chordata; Mammalia; Primates; Hominidae. The record is from RNAcentral.
UCCAAAUUCAGUUUGGGGCCUACCACCGU